Molecule: small nuclear RNA, 161 nt
Organism: Hibiscus syriacus
Lineage: Eukaryota; Viridiplantae; Streptophyta; Magnoliopsida; Malvales; Malvaceae
Product: U1 spliceosomal RNA
Exons: 1
Source: RefSeq, a predicted model, not a curated record
AUACUUACCUAGACGAGGAUAAUGGGUUAUCAUAAAGGUCCAAGGCUUAGUUUAGUGACCUCUACUGCACUUAAGAGGGGUACUCGCCUAAUGUCUCCCCAAAGUGGGAGAGCCUACGUUAUAAUUUGUGGUAGUGUGGUUUGCGUCCACGCGAUCACCGU